GAUUUUGUGCACAUCAUAUAUUGAGAAACUUAGGACAACCUAUGGUAGUUGUGGAAGCAAGAUAAUAAAGACUUUCAAUGCAGCAGCGAGAGCAUACACGAAGCAUGAUUUUGAGUACCAUAUGAAACAACUAGACCAAAUUAAUAAGUCUAUCAGGAAAGAUCUGGUAUUUUUACUACCUUAUUUCAUCUUUUACUUUAUUAAACUUUCAAUAAUUUAUGAAUAGAUGAAACCAAUGUAUAAUUCUAUUUCUUACACAUGGUCUCGUGUUCUAGCAAGUGCAAAUAGUCUCUACAAGGUAUUUCUUGACUAGUUGCAAAGAUAACAGAAUGAAUAACUUAUCCCUAUGACUUUUAGACACUGUUGUUUAUAUAUUUAUAAUUCUAUUUGCUUGCUAUGUAAAAAACUUAGGGGCAAUAACUAGCAUUAUCUUUACCGUCUUCAAACUAAUAACAUCCGCUAAUGAAUUUGUAUUAUCUAUAAUGUGAGUUGUAGGAUGAAAUUGGCUACCACACAUGGUCAAGAGCACACAUGCGAACUAACAGAUUUUUAGCCAUGACAUCGAACAUCGUCGAGUUAGUAAACUCAGUUAUAGAACCGGUGAACUCAGUUACAUCAAACAUCGCCGAGUCGGUAUCCAUUGACUAUUUAUUCGAAUGAUUAAGGCACACAAUACAAUGUGGUUUUCAAAGGAUAGAGGUAAUGCACAAGGAACGUUCACACGACUCGCACCAAAACCGGAAGAAUUGCUGAGAACGAAUGCAAAGCAUUUAUUGAAACUGAAAUUACAUAUAGGAAUAAUAAUCCAUAUUUGUAGGUUGGUAAUUUUUCAUAGCGUUGUAUAUCCAACUAAGUUUUAUCGUUAUAACCCACAUUCCUUGAUUUAUUAGUCAACAUAUAUGAUACAUCAACGUAAGAUGAAUUAUUAUGUUCUGUGUAUUGGUUAAAUCUUAUGUUUCGUCCUAUGUACCGUGUAUUGGUUAUAAGUUACGUUUCGUGCAUUGUUUUAAGUAUUCGUCCAGGUUGUUGAACUUGAUAAUAUAGGAACAUUUAGAUGCAACACUGGUUCACAAAUUUUCCUUUUUAUUAUAGGUAUCAUUCUAAGGAUAUUGAAAGAGGAGAUGUAGCCAUUGCUAAUAAUAUUCAGUCUGUUCCACCACCACCUUUGUCUAUUCAGACAGCAAUUUAAGCAAAUGAGAUAUGAAAAGAAAUAUUUAGCAUGCCACGCUAUUGACUGGACAACACUACAAAAAAGGGCACUUGAGAAAUAAUAACAGUAAUAAGAAUAAUUAUCUGUUUUAAGUUUAGAAAAAAAAAUAAUAAAUAAAAAGAGGGUGGCCCUAAAUCAAUUUUCCUUCACCAACGCCAGCUGCUUCAAUUCAUGGCUUUUUACAUCAGUGGAGGAAAAGGAAAGGAAAACUAAAACUUUACAAAGGAAAAGGAGAAAAAUCAUCAAUCAUCACAAGACAUAGAGGAAGGUGCUUUUCCAUUUUCAUGUAAGAGCUUACAUCAACACUGGUUCACAAAAUUUCCUUUUUAUUAUAGGUAUCAUUCUAAGGAUAUUGUUGCAAAGUUAUGUAGUCACUAUUGGAUAUUUGAUAUGGUGUAAUUCUUGUAUAUUCAUUUUUGGCGAACAAUGAUUGAGUUUCGAUGCCUACAAUAUGUGUUACAUGGUAGAAUAGGACUUUUAUUCCUUCAAGAAUGCUUGUGAUGUUUAUGGUUAUAAAGAUGCUGGGAACUAUUUGUUACAUGUUCAUUGUACAUAAUGCAUUUUACAUUUUCUGUCCAUUGAGCUGCUAAUUUGUUAGCGGUUGUUAUGUAUUACAAGUAAUGUGUUGACUUUAAUUGUUGACCAGUUAUAUGCAAGCGAUACUGGUACAAUUCCAUAAAACAUCACGGAAUUUGUUCAGUGCGAGGGAAACCUGCUAUGAAAUACUAAGAUAAACUAGUACUUAUAUAUAAUAAUAGUUUUAUGCAAUAAAAUAUUUCUUGAAGAAACGACAU
RNAcentral lists this long non-coding RNA (2004 nucleotides) under Olea europaea (common olive). RNAcentral describes it as "long non-coding RNA (OEUR_LNC006787)". The record is from RNAcentral. Lineage: Eukaryota; Viridiplantae; Streptophyta; Magnoliopsida; Lamiales; Oleaceae.